Molecule: long non-coding RNA, 225 nt
Filed under: Lathyrus oleraceus (garden pea)
Lineage: Eukaryota; Viridiplantae; Streptophyta; Magnoliopsida; Fabales; Fabaceae
Description: Pisum sativum (pea) long non-coding RNA (PSAT_LNC003008)
Source: RNAcentral
GAAAUUUCAUAUGAACAAAUGCUUCUGCUCAAUGGUUCUAUUUAUAGAACCCCUUAUUUGGGUUGUAAGCUAAAAAGCCCACUUAAGUGUAUGUGGCCCAUAUCUUAUGAUAUACCAAAACCACUUAAGUAUGUGGUACCUUACCAUAUUUCGUAUUCUACUUAAGUGCACCGUACCUUAUGAUGUUCUACAAUUCACUUAAGUGAACAGUACCUUACGGUGUUC